Molecule: long non-coding RNA, 743 nt
Organism: Canis lupus familiaris (dog)
Lineage: Eukaryota; Metazoa; Chordata; Mammalia; Carnivora; Canidae
Exons: 3
Source: RefSeq, a predicted model, not a curated record
UUCAGCCUUCCCCUCCUCCAACCUCCACGGAGGAGAGAAGGCACUGGAGGUUGAAUCCUUUGCCAAUGGCCAGUUAUGUAAUCAGUCAUGACCAUGUACGGGAAAUGAAAAGGCAAAUCAUGUGAAUAAAAAUACCAUCAUCACUCUGGUCAAAGGAUCAGUUACCAAGGUGGUGCCGCAAGCUAACCCUGCAGGACAUUUGAGUUUAUACAUGUGGCUCACGCACUUUAUUGACAUUGAAGAGUGCUGAGUUAUAGGAAAACACUUCACUGCAUUAAGGACAGAGCUACAAGGAAUCUUUCUUUCCUGAAUUUGUCAAUGGUGAGAGCGAAGCAAGAGAGGAUGAGAGAGCACCUGCUCCGGGCACUCUGGAGAACCCUCACCUGGUGAAGGAAGGGAAACUUGCAAGAUUCAUAAUGAAAUAAAAACUAAAGCAUAACAUGAAGUCAAUUAAACAACUUGAGGCUAAUCCUUAAUUGUGCACGCACGUGCAAAUUUAACCUGCAAAACAACAUCGGCAAUCAUGACAGUGUGACAACCAUCUCCUUCCCUUUUGAUUAAGAGCAGGUAUUUUCCUAGAAAAAGCAUAACCAAAAACAAUGUCCUAGAAACCAGCUGUGUUUUUAAAGAGACAUCUGUCCUCUGGAAAUAGCCACACUGGACAGACAGACAGACAUCCAACCCCCUUAUAGGUGAGAAUGGGACACAAAGUUACAGGGCAGCACUGAGCCCUUUCUAACUUA